CGUCAUACCAAGCAAUUAUCAAAUAUCACAGUACCAGACAUAGUCGUGAUGAGAUCGGAAGCGGAAAUGAAUGAUUCAGUGAACUGAAAUGCGAUUGCAAAUGGAAUCGCAAACCCUAGAAUUUGGGGAAAAUAACUAGAAUGAAAGUGCCAUGCCGGAGUCUCAACAGAAAACGAAAAUCAAUGAAUCUGGAUGUUGGAUAAAGGAAGAAAGAUGAAUUCAGAUAAAUGAAUCGAAAACAAAUUUUCAACAAAGAAUGAGAAGAGCAACGGAACAAGAACGAAUCAAUCUGCAAAUAUCACACAGAUAUGAGCGAAGCAACAUCAAGAACUCAAUCGAAAACGAAAUUGAAGAAGAUGAUGAAUCGGUGAAAUAAACGGAUAGGGGAAAUUGAUUCUGUGAAUGAAAUUGGGAGAAAGAAACUAAAGAGAUAUGAGAAAAUUGAAUUUUCUCAAGAAAAUGCAGCGGAAAAUUUGUUCAAGGUGGAUACCAAAUUUGCUCUAAUACCAUGUUAAGAAUCAUGGCAUCCAUAGAAAAGUAGAGAGAAAAGUAAAAAAUUUUGUAUUGAUGAUAAUGAGUACAAUUACAAUUGAUAAGAAAAUUAGGUACAAUUGACUUAUUUAUAGGCUAACUAACUAGACUAACUAACUAGUAACUAAUGCAACUAACUAUACCUCUAAUA
RNAcentral lists this long non-coding RNA (682 nucleotides) under Trifolium pratense (red clover). RNAcentral's name for it is "long non-coding RNA (TPRA_LNC014283)". The record is from RNAcentral. Lineage: Eukaryota; Viridiplantae; Streptophyta; Magnoliopsida; Fabales; Fabaceae.